CCCUUAGAUGUUCUGGGCCGCACGCGCGCUACACUGACGGAGCCAACGAGUCUUUUCCUUGUCCGGAAGGACUGGGUAAUCUUGUGAAACUUCGUCGUGCUGGGGAUAGAGCAUUGCAAUUAUUGCUCUUCAACGAGGAAUUCCUAGUAAGCACGGGUCAUAAGCUCGUACUGAUUACGUCCCUGCCCUUUGUACACACCGCCCGUCGCUACUACCGACUGGUAAGAUAUCUAAGGAGCAUGGACGUCGGCAGACGCGGUUCGCGCCGUGUCUGCGGGCAGAAGCGCCCCGCAGAUUUCUUGCUGGAGGAAGUAAAAGUCGUANCA
Molecule: ribosomal RNA, 326 nt
Filed under: uncultured eukaryote
Lineage: Eukaryota
Description: partial 18S ribosomal RNA
Rfam family: Eukaryotic small subunit ribosomal RNA
Source: RNAcentral